CAAAAUAAUAAUAAUAAAAAAAAGGUUUAAAGAAUGAUCAAUAAUAACAUCUAGCUCAUUAUAAUACUACAAUCCCCACCAUGGAAGGUACUUAUCCACCAUUUUUUGAUCACGGGACAUAAGUACUAACAUGAUUUCUCACGGUUCUUGCAUGCCCUGCACUCCUCCCCUAAAACACAAUGAUGCUCACAGCCCUCAUGCAUCAUUCAUUUUGCCUACAGAAAAACCUCCUGCUAUAGUUGCUCAGAGAGGUGGAUUUGAGGCAAUUCCUCCUUAACAAUCCUUACUGUCUCAGCAAUUGGCUUUCUGUGCAGCAGGCAACACUGAACACUCCUUGUGGGCUUGCUAACACCACCUGCUCUGUCACCAGCCUGCCUGUGGAAGUGCCUGCCCUCUCUGGUGCCCAGGAUCCUCAUUGGUGAAAUGGACAUAGCACCUCUUUGCUCAUCACUCAUAUUCAUGCAGUGAUAAAAAGUGAGGAUAUAAAUGACGUGAAAGGGCAUUGAAAAAUGUGGUAAGUUAAUGAGACCGAGUCAUUGUCUCUUCCCCAUUUCCCAGGUCCUGCUCACAACUGCUCUCCAGGGCCCCAAGCCCCUAACUCUAUCCUAGCCCUUUGAACAAUCUUUGCCUUCUUUGGGGAAAGACGACAUGGAAUCCCAAGAACAGGACUAAAAUUGCAUCCCCAUUUCUUCUCUUGGCUGUUUCCACAAUCGCUGUUACUCGCAGACACUGGGGCCAUUCUCCUGGCUGCUGGGCCCACUCACCAGACCAGGGGGAGGGGUUUGUGUGUGUCACAAAGGGCAUUCAGUGACGGGGUCAUGCGAGGGCCUGUGCGUGUCAUAAAUACCAGAGGAGCUCUGGGCACAUCCCAUUUACUCAUUCUGAUUCUUCUGGACUAGUGAGUACGCAGCAGUGUCUUCUGAAAAUGACAAAAAGACUCCCUCGUGUUUCUCGCCCUCAGCUCCAGCCUCGCCCUCCUCCUGUUCCUUCACACUCUCAGUCCAAAACCAUCCUUCCUCCCCUUGCUCCUCAGUAUCCCACCCUUCAGCCUCCUCCCCAGAACCACCCAGCUCUUUCUGUUCAUUGCCCCACCAAGCUCCCCUCUCUGACUAAUCCCCCCAAUUCCCACUACUCCACCCUGAUGCUCUACAUGACCAGCUCCUCCUCUGUUCCUUCCCGACAGCCCAUCUACCAACCCCAGGUCCACCAACCCCUGGUCCGCUCCACUCCCCGUUCCCGCUUCCCUUCUGUCCAGACCCCCACCCCUCCUCCCAGCCCCUCUGCCUAGGCCCCUACACCCUCAUCCCUGCCCACUGUCCAGUCACCCGUGGCCAGACCUGCCAGGUCCCAAAUCUCCUCCUGGGGAGGUGGUGUCCCUGCUGCUGGGACAGUUUGGAGCAGCCCAGAACUGCUGGGACAGCGGCCUGACAUGGUGGCCACCGGGCAGGCAAGACACUGGCAACCCACGCUCAGCCUCGGAAAUGAUUGACCCAAGUGAGGUCCAUGACACGUCCAUGAUCUCCUGGGUCUGCCGCUUGCUGGCCAGCCCUUUGCUGGGGUCCAGGGCCGGUUCCAGUAACCAGGCUGGGUCCCCAGAAGGUCAGGCAGGAGCUGUUGCCUGGAGACUGCGAGGCCAGCACCAGUCCCGCCAGCUGAGCCCGCGGGAGACGUUAUCACCAGUCCAGACAGCAGAAGUGGGCGAUGCCGCACCAGGACCUCAAGCAGAGGGCGUGGCAGAUACCGGCACCAGUCCCGCCAGGUGAACACGCAGGAGACACCGGCACCGGGAUAGCCAGCAGAGAGCGCAGGAGAGGACAGCACCAGCCACACAGCAAACGGCGUGACAGACGCCCGCACCACGCCAGAAAGCAGAGUGCACAGAAGAUGCCAGAACAACCGCAGGCCCGCCAGCAGAGGGUGCGGGUGAGGACGGCACCAGGCCCGCCAGCAGAGUGCUCGGGAGACGCCAGAACAACCCAGCUCGGGCGAGACGGCACCACGCCUGCCAGAGGAGGGCUCGACAGAGGACAGCAGCAGGCCAGAAGCAGAGGGCUUGGCAGAGGAUGUCACCAGGCCCACCAGCAAUGGGCGUGGGCGUGCACGGCACCGGCCCGCCUGCAGAAGGUGCGGGGCGGCCGCAGGACCUGCGCUCCAAGGCCGUGGCGGGACGCCAGAGGGAGAAGGGGUGGCGCUUGCGGUCCAUCAGAACUCCAUCUUACGCAAACUGGACCUAAAAGCUUUGCACCCUGAAACUCUACACGCUGUAUCACACGAACCCCCUGUGCAGGGUGCGGGGCAGCGGGGUGGGGAACGGCCAGAGUGGGCGGGGAGGCCUCGGGAGGAGCCUUGGGGGCUGCCGGCAGGUGGUGCCAGCCCGGGGAAGAGGAAGAGCUUCCCUGACACUUCCCUCAUAGCUGUCAGAGCCAGCUUGGGAAGGCCUCGCCCCGCUUCACUUCGGAUAUAUUAGAUAUAUUACAAUGCAGCCACAUGGUGAUUAUAUAUUUUCAUUGCAGGAAAAAAGUUAAAAUGAUAGUUAUAAUUCUGUUUUUGAAAUAAUUAUA
This is a non-coding RNA of Microcebus murinus (gray mouse lemur), 2561 nucleotides long. Lineage: Eukaryota; Metazoa; Chordata; Mammalia; Primates; Cheirogaleidae. The record is from RefSeq and is a predicted model, not a curated record.